RNAcentral lists this long non-coding RNA (218 nucleotides) under Bos taurus (domestic cattle). Its description in RNAcentral is "long non-coding RNA NONBTAT014145". The record is from RNAcentral. Lineage: Eukaryota; Metazoa; Chordata; Mammalia; Artiodactyla; Bovidae.
UGCAUAAACUGGGCCAAGGAGCAGCUGACCAGAUUACCUAAAAUAUAACGAAUCCCCUUAGACCUCAGAGGAGAAGCCGAGGCAUGCUCUCAGAGCCGCUGUGGUCUGCACUGUUCUUAUCAGAAGAGCAAAAUCAUCAAAACCCAUGAUCCUACAGAGGAUUAAAAAUUCCCCUCUAAAAUAGGAGAGGGUUAAUAAUAAACAUAAUAACGAGAUUU